RNAcentral lists this ribosomal RNA (275 nucleotides) under uncultured bacterium. RNAcentral describes it as "partial 16S ribosomal RNA". It matches the Rfam family "Bacterial small subunit ribosomal RNA", at positions 79 to 353 of the family's 1533-position model. The record is from RNAcentral.
CUAAGUUUGAUGGCGACCGGCGCACGGGUGAGUAACACGUAUCCAACCUGCCGAUAACUCUGGAAUAGCCUUUCGAAAGAAAGAUUAAUACCGGAUAGUAUACGAAUAUCGCAUGAUAUUUUUAUUAAAGAAUUUCGGUUAUCGAUGGGGAUGCGUUCCAUUAGUUUGUUGGCGGGGUAACGGCCCACCAAGACUACGAUGGAUAGGGGUUCUGAGAGGAAGGUCCCCCACAUUGGAACUGAGACACGGUCCAAACUCCUACGGGAGGCAGCAUG